This 80-nucleotide microRNA precursor is filed under the name Spodoptera frugiperda (fall armyworm). RNAcentral describes it as "microRNA sfr-mir-2766 precursor". The stretch from base 7 to 74 matches the Rfam family "mir-2766 microRNA precursor family". Lineage: Eukaryota; Metazoa; Arthropoda; Insecta; Lepidoptera; Noctuidae. The record is from miRBase by way of RNAcentral.
ACGCCCGUCUCGUCCAUCCUUCGUCUCGACUGGCGCUGCUUAACGCUUCAGUCUUGUCGAAUGGUGGGUGAGAUUUGCGU